GGGCGAUUAGCUCAGUUGGUAGAGCGCCUGCCUUACAAGCAGGAUGUCGGCGGUUCAAGUCCGUCAUCGCCCA
Molecule: transfer RNA, 73 nt
Filed under: Spirochaeta lutea
Lineage: Bacteria; Pseudomonadati; Spirochaetota; Spirochaetia; Spirochaetales; Spirochaetaceae
Rfam family: tRNA
About the family: Transfer RNA (tRNA) molecules are approximately 80 nucleotides in length. Their secondary structure includes four short double-helical elements and three loops (D, anti-codon, and T loops).
Source: Rfam by way of RNAcentral